CCCCUGCCUGCCUCUUCCUUUUCUCUGCCUCCUGCUCCUUGUUCCCCGGCUCCCACAAAAGCUGGUGGUGCGAUCACACCGUAGAACACAGACAGAACUUAACCUAUUUGGAGGCGCAGAAGAAACAGAGCAGGAUUUUGCCUUUUGAAUAUACUGGGAAGAAAAGAAGCGCUCAGAGCCCAGUAAAAGCUGAACAUUACCAAGUCUUUUUCAACACUGAAAUUAGGUCCCGUGAGCACGAGGCCCACCUAGCAGCCGGGAUUGUUACGCAGCAGCAUCUAAAUGGGAGAUGAACAGUCCUAGCCACAUGCUGGUUUGGAGGCAGUUUCCUGCAAAACGACGCUGUAAAUCCAGGUGAACACUUGUUAAACACACAGUUAUGCACCCACAGAGCUGGACUGAAAUCACAUAACCAGACAAGACACAUGGUGGGCAUCGUUUCUCGGGAUUAAUAAUAUGGCUAUAAAAGAACACACAUACUCAUGAUAAAAACUUUGCAGCACCCAAGUGUGAAGUGCAAAAUAAAUGUCCUCCUCUCCAUCUAAUCCCUAUGUUCUCUUCCCCAGAAGAUACCAAUUUCUCCAUUCUUUGUGUACCCUUCCAUAGAUACUCUAUAUAUUUAGGCAU
Molecule: long non-coding RNA, 627 nt
Filed under: Ailuropoda melanoleuca (giant panda)
Lineage: Eukaryota; Metazoa; Chordata; Mammalia; Carnivora; Ursidae
Description: lncRNA (ENSAMEG00000029806.1)
Source: RNAcentral